GAGUUUGAUCGUGGCUCAGAGUGAACGCUGGCGGUAGGCCUAACACAUGCAAGUCGAACGGUAACAGGUCUUUCGGGAUGCUGACGAGUGGCGGACGGGUGAGGAAUACAUCGGAAUCUGCUCAGUCGUGGGGGAUAACGCAUGGAAACGUGCGCUAAUACCGCAUACGACCUUCGGGUGAAAGCAGGGGAAUCUCUCGGGAUCCUUGCGCGAUUGAAUGAGCCGAUGUCGGAUUAGCUAGUUGGUAGGGUAAAAGCCUACCAAGGCCACGAUCCGUAGCUGGUCUGAGAGGAUGAUCAGCCACACUGGGACUGAGACACGGCCCAGACUCCUGCGGGAGGCAGCAGUGGGGAAUAUUGGACAAUGGGGGCAACCCUGAUCCAGCCAUACCGCGUGGGUGAAGAAGGCCUUCUGGGUUGUAAAGCCCUUUUGUUGGGGAAGAAAAACAACGGGUUAAUACCCCGUUGGUAUGACGGUACCCAAAGAAUAAGCACCGGCUAACUUCGUGCCAGCAGCCGCGGUAAUACGAAGGGUGCAAGCGUUACUCGGAAUUACUGGGCGUAAAGGGUGCGUAGGUGGUUGCGCCAGUCUGUCGUGAAAGCCCUGGGCUUAACCUGGGAAUGGCGAUGGAAACUGUGCAACUAGAGUGUGACAGAGGGUGGUGGAAUUCCUGGUGUAGCAGUGAAAUGCGUAGAGAUCAGGAGGAACAUUCGUGGCGAAGGCGGCCACCUGGGUCAACACUGACACUGAGGCACGAAAGCGUGGGGAGCAAACAGGAUUAGAUACCCUGGUAGUCCACGCCCUAAACGAUGCGAACUGGAUGUUGGGUCCAACUUGGGAUUCAGUAUCGAAGCUAACGCGUUAAGUUCGCCGCCUGGGGAGUACGGUCGCAAGACUGAAACUCAAAGGAAUUGACGGGGGCCCGCACAAGCGGUGGAGUAUGUGGUUUAAUUCGAUGCAACGCGCAGAACCUUACCUGGCCUUGACACGCACGGAACCUUU
RNAcentral lists this ribosomal RNA (1002 nucleotides) under uncultured Lysobacterales bacterium. RNAcentral describes it as "bacterial SSU rRNA". It matches the Rfam family "Bacterial small subunit ribosomal RNA", at positions 9 to 1000 of the family's 1533-position model. Lineage: Bacteria; Pseudomonadati; Pseudomonadota; Gammaproteobacteria; Lysobacterales. The record is from RNAcentral.